Molecule: non-coding RNA, 161 nt
Filed under: Nitratireductor sp.
Lineage: Bacteria; Pseudomonadati; Pseudomonadota; Alphaproteobacteria; Hyphomicrobiales; Phyllobacteriaceae
Description: 6S RNA
Rfam family: 6S / SsrS RNA
About the family: E. coli 6S RNA was the first non coding RNA to be sequenced, but its function was unknown until recently.
Source: RNAcentral
UUCGGGCUGGCUGGUACGUCAGGAUAUCACAAUCCCCGGGGCCUUAAUGAUCCUUAAGGGAGCUGUUCCUGCCUCGGCUCGUGGGCCAAGGCACACGGCGCCCACCUACUUUGUAGGUUCCCGGGAUCGUAAAAACGUCCAACGGCCAAGCUGGCUCGAAC